UACGUAGGUGGCAAGCGUUAUCCGGAAUUAUUGGGCGUAAAGCGCGCGCAGGCGGUCCUUUAAGUCUGAUGUGAAAGCCCACGGCUCAACCGUGGAGGGUCAUUGGAAACUGGGGGACUUGAGUGCAGAAGAGGAGAGUGGAAUUCCACGUGUAGCGGUGAAAUGCGUAGAGAUGUGGAGGAACACCAGUGGCGAAGGCGACUCUCUGGUCUGUAACUGACGCUGAGGCGCGAAAGCGUGGGGAGCAAACAGG
RNAcentral lists this ribosomal RNA (253 nucleotides) under uncultured bacterium. Its description in RNAcentral is "partial 16S ribosomal RNA". It matches the Rfam family "Bacterial small subunit ribosomal RNA", at positions 524 to 776 of the family's 1533-position model. The record is from RNAcentral.